This is a long non-coding RNA of Hyposmocoma kahamanoa, 223 nucleotides long. RefSeq lists it as uncharacterized. NCBI's taxonomy places the organism in Eukaryota, Metazoa, Arthropoda, Insecta, Lepidoptera, Cosmopterigidae. The record is from RefSeq and is a predicted model, not a curated record. The transcript is spliced from 3 exons.
CCCGCCUCUGCUCGCAUGGCUGUCAGCGUCGCGAGUCACGAGCCGCCAUUUUGUUUCAAAUGAAAUAGCUACUCUCAUGCAGUUUUCAAAAUGUGAUAUUAUAUUAUUCCCAAAUAACACAAGACCUACGUGGACGACAUCACGUAACAUUAUAAGCUAAUCUGUCGUGUGUCGCCGACAUCGAGCUGAUGACAUUUUUAAAAAUUAUGAAAAAGCAAACACC